GACGAACGCUGGCGGCGUGCCUAAUACAUGCAGGUCGAGCGAAGUUUUUCUGGUGCUUGCACUAGAAAAACUUAGCGGCGAACGGGUGAGUAACACGUAAAGAACCUGCCUCAUAGACUGGGACAACUAUUGGAAACGAUAGCUAAUACCGGAUAACAGUAUUUCUCGCAUGAGAGAUAUUUAAAAGUUGGUUAUGCUAACACUAUGAGAUGGCUUUGCGGUGCAUUAGCUAGUUGGUGGGGUAAAGGCCUACCAAGGCGACGAUGCAUAGCCGACCUGAGAGGGUGAUCGGCCACACUGGGACUGAGACGCGGCCCAGACUCCUACGGGAGGCGGCAGUAGGGAAUCUUCCGCAAUGGGCGAAAGCCUGACGGAGCAACGCCGCGUGAGUGAAGAAGGAUUUCGGUUCGUAAAGCUCUGUUGUUAGGGAAGAAUGGAUAUGUAGUAACUAUACAUAUAGGAGACGGUACCUAACCAGAAAGCCACGGCUAACUACGUGCCAGCAGCCGCGGUAAUACGUAGGUGGCAAGCGUUGUCCGGAAUUAUUGGGCGUAAAGCGCGCGCAGGUGGUUUAAUAAGUCUGAUGUGAAAGCCCACGGCUCAACCGUGGAGGGUCAUUGGAAACUGUUAAACUUGGGUGCAGGAGAGAAAAAUGGAAUUCCUAGUGUAGCGGUGAAAUGCGUAGAGAUUAAGAGGAACACCAUGGCGAAGGCGGCUUUUUUGGUCUUUAACUGACACCGAGGCGCGAAAAGCGUGGGGGAGGCAAAACGG
This 771-nucleotide ribosomal RNA is filed under the name uncultured bacterium. RNAcentral's name for it is "bacterial SSU rRNA". It matches the Rfam family "Bacterial small subunit ribosomal RNA", at positions 28 to 776 of the family's 1533-position model. The record is from RNAcentral.